This 451-nucleotide ribosomal RNA is filed under the name uncultured bacterium. Its description in RNAcentral is "partial 16S ribosomal RNA". It matches the Rfam family "Bacterial small subunit ribosomal RNA", at positions 28 to 507 of the family's 1533-position model. The record is from RNAcentral.
GAUGAACGCUGGCGGCGUGCCUAACACAUGCAAGUCGAGCGGCAGCGAGGGGUGCUUGCACCCUGUCGGCGAGCGGCGGACGGCUGAGUAACGCGUGGGAACGUGCCCCAAAGUGAGGAAUAACUGCCCGAAAGGGUAGCUAAUACCGCAUAUUAUCUUCGGAUCAAAGGAUUUAUCCGCUUUGGGAGCGGCUCGCGUCGGAUUAGGUAGUUGGUGAGGCAAUGGCUCACCAAGCCGACGAUCCGUAGCUGGUCUGAGAGGAUGACCAGCCAGACUGGAACUGAGACACGGUCCAGACUCCUACGGGAGGCAGCAGUGAGGAAUCUUCCACAAUGGGCGAAAGCCUGAUGGAGCAACGCCGCGUGCAGGACGAAGGCCUUCGGGUUGUAAACUGCUUUUAUAAGUGAGGAAUAUGACGGUAACUUAUGAAUAAGGAUCGGCUAACUACGUG